Molecule: transfer RNA, 73 nt
Filed under: Archaeoglobus fulgidus
Lineage: Archaea; Methanobacteriati; Methanobacteriota; Archaeoglobi; Archaeoglobales; Archaeoglobaceae
Description: tRNA-Val
Rfam family: tRNA
About the family: Transfer RNA (tRNA) molecules are approximately 80 nucleotides in length. Their secondary structure includes four short double-helical elements and three loops (D, anti-codon, and T loops).
Source: RNAcentral
GGGCUCGUGGUCUAGCGGUUAUGACGUCGCCCUUACAAGGCGGAGAUCGAGGGUUCGAAUCCCUCCGAGCCCA